RNAcentral lists this microRNA (22 nucleotides) under Ornithorhynchus anatinus (platypus). RNAcentral describes it as "oan-miR-499-3p". Its record names the gene oan-miR-499-3p. Lineage: Eukaryota; Metazoa; Chordata; Mammalia; Monotremata; Ornithorhynchidae. The record is from miRBase by way of RNAcentral.
AACAUCACUGCAAGUCUGUGCU